UGGGGAAUAUUGCACAAUGGGCGCAAGCCUGAUGCAGCCAUGCCGCGUGUGUGAAGAAGGCCUUCGGGUUGUAAAGUACUUUCAGUCGGGAGGAAGGUGGUAAGGUUAAUAACCUUGGCAAUUGACGUUACCGACAGAAGAAGCACCGGCUAACUCCGUGCCAGCAGCCGCGGUAAUACGGAGGGUGCAAGCGUUAAUCGGAAUUACUGGGCGUAAAGCGCACGCAGGCGGUUGAUUGAGUCAGAUGUGAAAUCCCCGGGCUUAACCCGGGAAUUGCAUCUGAUACUGGUCAGCUAGAGGCUUGUAGAGGGGGGUAGAAUUCCAUGUGUAGCGGUGAAAUGCGUAGAGAUGUGGAGGAAUACCGGUGGCGAAGGCGGCCCCCUGGACAAAGACUGACGCUCAGGUGCGAAAGCGUGGGGAGCAAACAGG
This 429-nucleotide ribosomal RNA is filed under the name Chloroflexota bacterium. Its description in RNAcentral is "Chloroflexi bacterium partial 16S ribosomal RNA". It matches the Rfam family "Bacterial small subunit ribosomal RNA", at positions 355 to 776 of the family's 1533-position model. Lineage: Bacteria; Bacillati; Chloroflexota. The record is from RNAcentral.